AGAAAGAAGAGCUGGGUGGGAGCGAAGCUCCUGGGCUGGGUGCAUGGGCGUGAGAAGAGUUUUACGGGGUCUUCCUCGGUGCCUUCUAAUCGGCGAGCUGUUUCCUUUGGCUGUGAUUCAAGGCUGAGGUCAGCCGUUCCCUUCACUGACCCGAGCCCGACCGAAGAGGUCGUCACCUCCUCCGCGCUGCAGUCGUCCCCGCCUUCUCCUUUGUGAAUUUUUGCCAUCCUGAAUUGGGGCACUGAGCGUCCAGGGUCUUCACUCUAAAAGUUUGUUCUUUUCCUGUAAGGUGGCAAACUCAGCUUUGAAUGGGGGCAACUGUUUGCUGAAGUGUGAUGUGUGAAGAGGUAGGAGGAAAUGAGCUUGAGCAUCUCAGAAGCUUCAAUUCAGGCCUCUCACUGUUGUGGCCUCUCCCGUUGCGGAGCACAGGCUCCGGACGCACAGGCUCAGUGGCCAUGGCCCACGGGCCCAGCCGCUCCGCGGCAUGUGGGAUCCUCCCAGACCGGGGCACGAACCCGCGUCCCCUGCAUCGGCAGGUGGACUGCCAAACACUGCGCCACCAGGGAAGCCGUCUAAUAUGGUUUUGAUUUGAAUAUCCUUGAUGACUAACGAUGUUGAGCCAGAUCUAAAAGAAGACAUAAUUCUUGAUUAUUAAUUGACUUUUAAGAGUGAAGGAGAGGAAAGAGUAAAAGAUCUGCUUCCUUUUAAUGAUAAUAAACAUCGGUUCCAAAGCCAAAUAUAGAUGGUUUGUAUAUAUCUGCACUGCAUUUUUAAAAUCCCUGCCUCAGUACUAUUUAUGUGGCUAAUUAAAAGUUGGGCAUAAAUAAGAGUCUUUACUCAGGACAAAUCAAAUAACAUUCAUUUUCUUUUCCUGAACACCAUUUGCAUUUUUCCUUAAGUUGAAGGAUCUACUGCUUGGAAAUCUCCUUAGACAGAAGGGAGCUGAAUGACAUGUCCCUCCUUUUUUCCUCUACUUUCUAUACUCCAAUUGUGUGCAUCAGGUUUUUCUUGCUGCCAUAACAAAUUACUACAAAUAUAGCAGCUUAAAAUAACACAAAAUUAUUAUCUUAUAGUUCUGUAGGUCAGAAGUCCAGUAUGGGUUGCAUUAGGCUAAAAUCAACGUGUCAGUAGUGCUGGGUUCCUUUCUGGAGGGUCUAGGGGAAAAUCAUUUCCAUUCUUUUUCAAAUUCUUUCCCCAAUUAGGUUGUUACAGAAUAUUGAGCAGAGUUCCCUGUGCUAUAUAUUAGGUCCUUGUUGGUUAUCCAUUUUAAAUAUAGCAGUGUGUACAUGUCAGUCCCAAACUCCCUAACUAUCCCUCUACCCCGCCCAUCCUGGUAACCAUAAGUUCAUUCUCUAAGUUUAUGAGUCUGUUUCUGUUUUGUAAAUAAGUUCAUUUGUAUAAUUUUUUUAUGGAUUCUGCAUAUGAUAUUUCUCUUUCUCUGUCUGAGUUACUUCAGUCAGUGUGACAAUCUCUAGGGCCAUCCAUGUUGCUGCAAAUGACCCAAUUUCAUUCCUUUCUAUGGCUGAGUAAUAUUCCAUUGUAUAUAUGUACUGCAUCUUCUUUAUCCAUUCUUCUGUCAUUGGGCAUAUAGAUUACUUCCAUGUCUUGGCUACUGUAAACAGCACUGCAAUGAAUAUUACGGUGUAUGUAUUUUUUCGGACCAUGUUUUUCUCUGGGUAUGUGCCCAGGAGUGGGAUUGGGAAGACUCAUUCUUGGAAACAAUAUUUAAGGAGUAUUUACCCAUGCAACGCUACUGGGUCUGCUGCUCAGGUGAUUAUUAUAAGGAGCUCUGUUGCAGCAGUUCUUUGUGGGGAAAUAUUUAAUGUCAGGGCCUUAAUGUCCUGAGCCAUUAUGUUACUGUUCUAUCAGUCCACUGUUUCAAUUUUUCUAUUUAAAAAAAAUUUUUUUUUUGGCUGCACUGCAUGGCACGUGGGAUCUUAGCUCCCCAACCAGGGAUCGAACUUGUGCCCCCUGCAGUGGAAGUGUGGAGUCUUAACCAUUGGACCGCCAGGGAAGUCCCUCAAUUUCUCUAAACAACCAUUUCCUGACUGCCCUAGAAGUGUUGUGUUAGGAGGAUUAGUUCUAGCAAUCACCACUCUAAUGACUUAUAACCAUUAAGUUAACCUAGUCAGCCCAGUCAAAUUGACAUACAAAAUUAAUUUUGUAUGUCAACUUGACUAAGUCAAGAGAUGCCCAGAUAUUUGGUCAAAGAUUAUUCUGGCUGUGUCAGUAAAGAUGUUUGGGGAUGAGAUUCACAUUUGAAUCUAUAGACUGAGUAGAGCAGACUAUCCUCUCUUAUGUGUGUGGGCCUCAUCCAAUCAGUUGAAGGCCUGAAUAGAACAAAAAGGCUGACCAUCCUGCAAGUAAGAGGGAACUCCUGCCUCACUGCCUUGGAGCUGGGACAUCAGUUUUUUCCUGCCUUUGAACUAGAACUAAAACAUUGGCUCUACCUGGAUGUCAAGCCUGCUAGCCUUUGGGCUGGAAAUGCACCAUCAGCUCUCCAGUUCUCAGGCCUUUGGACUUGGACAGAAACUACACCACUGGCUUUUCAGGGUCUCUAGCUUGCUGACUACAGAUCUUGAGACUUGUCAGCCUCUAAAUUAAGUCAAUUUCUUAUACUCAAUCUCAAUCUCUCUCUCUCUCUCUCUCUCUCUCUCUCUCUCUCUCUGUAUAUAUAUAGUUGACCUUGAACAAUACAGAUUUGACCUGUGUGGGGGUCUACUUAUAUGUGGAUUUUUUUCAGUAGUAAAUACUACAGUACUACACGAUCCGAUGUUGGCUGAAUCUGCAGAUGCAAAAUCUCCGAUACAGAGGGCCAACUACAAGUUAUAUGUAGAGUUUUGAUGGCAUGGAGGGUUGGCACCCUGAACUCCCACAUUGUUAAAGGGUCAACUGUAAACACACACACACACACACACACACACAUACACACACACAACUUUCUAUUGGUUCUGUUUCUCUGGAGAACCCUGACCAGUACAAGUAGUAUCCUCACUUUUCGUCACAGUAACUCUCCUUACCUCCACCUUGGGAACUUUUUUUUCCCCUCUCUUAUAACUCUUAUGCAACUUUUAACCACCCUUCUGAUAGAGGCUAAUCUCAGUGAGUCUUGGAGGGCCCACA
This is a long non-coding RNA of Orcinus orca (killer whale), 3123 nucleotides long. RefSeq lists it as uncharacterized. The record is from RefSeq and is a predicted model, not a curated record. NCBI's taxonomy places the organism in Eukaryota, Metazoa, Chordata, Mammalia, Artiodactyla, Delphinidae. The transcript has 3 exons.